UAGUUUCCCCACUGCGUUUAAGCCUUUUGAAUCGAACCAUUAUUUCAUCGAAAAAAUUGGAGUGUUACAAAAUGUAGCUUAUAAACGGCAACAGUUGGCUCCUUUAAAUGAUAUAUAUAUAUUUGUUUUUUGAUAAAUAUUAUCGGCUGAUCCGGUCGACUUUGAAAAGAACGCACUUAGUGCUACAAAGUGGACUAACUACGACACUGUCUGGCCCAAUUACUAUCUUAUUAUAUGUACCAAGAAUUGAAUAAUAAGGAACAGAAAAUCAAUAGAAAAUGAGAACUGAGGGAUAAAAUGUAAAUCGAAAUUCGAAAGAAAAGACAAAUGUUAAAAAGAUGGGUUAAGGAAGAUGUCGUGUGGGACUCAAUUUAUCUCAUUUCUAGUUAUGAUCAUACCAUCACGUGCUUCUCCCACCUCUCCUCGCCUUUUGUUUGGUAAUUCGAAUUGUGUCAUGAAAUAAAGGAUAUGGAUCAUUAUUUCAGCGAGUUUAAAUCAUAUAUUUAGUUAUUUUAAUGGUUAUAUACUUAUAUGAUACCUUUCAAUAAACAUCAGUAUAUCAUUCUAGCCAGAAAGAGAUUCGCAGUGUUAAUACUCGAGUUUGGCGAAUCUUGUGAUGCUCAUGUAUCUUCUCACCCCAUAAAAAUCUGAUCAUCCAAUUUUAAAAUCAUUGGAGAUGAUCCAAGUGCUGUUACCAUGUAUAUAUAAUAAUGAUUAAAUUCAAAUUACUUAUAUAUUGCAGCGUAAGAAGAACAUAUGGUGUCGCAUGAUAGAAUAUAUAUAUAUAUAUCAAAAAAAAAUUAAAAGAUGUGGUACGUA
RNAcentral lists this long non-coding RNA (819 nucleotides) under Brassica napus (rape). RNAcentral's name for it is "long non-coding RNA (BNAP_LNC020709)". The record is from RNAcentral. Lineage: Eukaryota; Viridiplantae; Streptophyta; Magnoliopsida; Brassicales; Brassicaceae.